This 843-nucleotide long non-coding RNA is filed under the name Equus caballus (horse). Its description in RNAcentral is "lncRNA (ENSECAG00000046692.1)". Lineage: Eukaryota; Metazoa; Chordata; Mammalia; Perissodactyla; Equidae. The record is from RNAcentral.
GGGAAGCACAUGACAUCAGCACCGCUUUCCUAUCAGGGAUGCCAGCCCCCACGCAGAGGAGCUCGGCGAAUUUGCAGGGAAGGAGCACGUUUCGUGACUUGACAGUUGAGUUUUCACCUGCUGAGCUCACUCCUGAAACUAGCUCCCAGAUCAAGGAGCAGAACCUCCCGGUGCCCUGGAAGCCCUGGCCCCCUUCAAAGCCUGCCGAGGGUGACACCCUGCACUCUGACAGCAGGAGCACUGAGACAAAUGGAGGAUACUCUAGAAGCGGUCCCUCCGCCCAGGUCCAAGCAGAGGAGCCAAUGACUCGGUUUCCUGUGAGCUCACUUUGGCGUGGCCCAGAGGACAAAGGCAUCUGGAGGGCCUUUCCCGAGGUGCUGGCUGCUGGUGGCUUCUGUUGAUCGGGGCCUCCUGGCCCCACCAGCUUACGCUGGGCUCCUUCAGGGCCGCCUUUCUCGGACAGCGUGGAGUCCUGCAGGCAACUGGUGGCAACUGCUAGUGGCCAUGUGUUUCCACACAUUUUCUGGAAAAUUACCAAGUAUUAAAAAUUGGAUCUGAACAUAUGUAUGUGAUUGGGAAUUCCAGCAGAAUUCAGGAGGAUACGAUGAAAUUCGUUCCCCUCCUCCUCCGGAACCGCAGGCUUCCUCUCAGAGGCUCCCAUGGGGAAGACUUCCCAGCUUUCUCUUCAAGUAUAAACAUACCCAUAUAUGUGCACUCCUGUGCUCGCACUUUGUCACUUAGAAAUAUGUCUUGGAGAUUGUCCCUUAUCGGCCCCGACAGCUCUGGCACUUUUUUCAAGCCAGCAUUCAAUGAUCUAGUCAUAGCACAUUCCUUUAACCAGAC